This 130-nucleotide small nucleolar RNA is filed under the name Dasypus novemcinctus (nine-banded armadillo). Its description in RNAcentral is "Small nucleolar RNA SNORA25 (ENSDNOG00000046936.1)". It matches the Rfam family "Small nucleolar RNA SNORA25". From Rfam's summary of the family: ACA25 is a member of the H/ACA class of snoRNA that guide the sites of modification of uridines to pseudouridines. Lineage: Eukaryota; Metazoa; Chordata; Mammalia; Cingulata; Dasypodidae. The record is from RNAcentral.
AGGUCAUUUCAAAGAGGGCUUGUGGGACUGAAAGCAGGAGUUCUUAAUGCUGUGACCAAAGAUUGAGGUUCUCCAUAGGAUGACAGAAACUCGAUAGUGGUUUGUUUUUUUCCCUGAGGGAGAUACAAGA